UACGGAGGGUGCAAGCGUUACUCGGAAUUACUGGGCGUAAAGCGCACGCAGGCGGUUUGUCAAGUCGGACGUGAAAUUCCUGGGCUCAACCUGGGAACUGCAUUUGAAACUGGCAGGCUAGAGUGUUGUAGAGGGGGGUAGAAUUCCAGGUGUAGCGGUGAAAUGCGUAGAGAUCUGGAGGAAUACCGGUGGCGAAGGCGGCCCCCUGGACAAAGACUGACGCUCAGGUGCGAAAGCGUGGGGAGCAAACAGG
This 253-nucleotide unclassified non-coding RNA is filed under the name uncultured Enterobacteriaceae bacterium. RNAcentral describes it as "contains 16S-23S intergenic spacer region". It matches the Rfam family "Bacterial small subunit ribosomal RNA", at positions 524 to 776 of the family's 1533-position model. The record is from RNAcentral. Lineage: Bacteria; Pseudomonadati; Pseudomonadota; Gammaproteobacteria; Enterobacterales; Enterobacteriaceae.